UCCGGUUGAUCCUGCCGGAGGCCACUGCUAUCGGGGUCCGACUAAGCCAUGCGAGUCACGGGGGUGUCCCUUUGGGGCACCACCGGCGGACGGCUCAGUAACACGUCGGUAACCUACCCUCGGGAGGGGGAUAACCCCGGGAAACUGGGGCUAAUUCCCCAUAGGCCUGAGGUACUGGAGGGUCCUCAGGCCGAAAGGGACUUAUGUCCGCCCGAGGAUGGGCCGGCGGCCGAUUAGGUAGUUGGUGGGGUAAUGGCCCACCAAGCCGAAGAUCGGUACGGGCUGUGAGAGCAGGAGCCCGGAGAUGGACACUGAGACACGGGUCCAGGCCCUACGGGGCGCAGCAGGCGCGAAACCUCCGCAAUGCGGGAAACCGCGACGGGGGGACCCCGAGUGCCGUGGCAACGCCACGGCUUUUCCGGAGUGUAAAAAGCUCCGGGAAUAAGGGC
RNAcentral lists this ribosomal RNA (449 nucleotides) under Thermococcus sp. enrichment clone SA3. Its description in RNAcentral is "bacterial SSU rRNA". It matches the Rfam family "Archaeal small subunit ribosomal RNA", at positions 1 to 442 of the family's 1478-position model. The record is from RNAcentral. Lineage: Archaea; Methanobacteriati; Methanobacteriota; Thermococci; Thermococcales; Thermococcaceae.